UGCUGCUACGGUUUUGCAGAUAUUACACAUUUAAUUCAUAGCGAAGACGUCACCCAGCCCACGUCACUGUAUUUUGUUGCGAAUUUCAAGCUCCUGGAAUGCUCCUGAUGCAGGACGAAUACAAGGUCAUUAUAGAUCUCCCAGGCAUAUGCAGUCCUCCUGCAGUAUGCCACAUAAUGCCCAAGAGAAUCCUGGCUCCAGACUGGAGGGAAAUUCAAGCAAGGCAACUUCCUUGCAACUGCUACCAAGAGCCUUGCCUGUAUUGUUGUCCUGUGUUUUGAAUGAAGACGGAC
This is a long non-coding RNA of Syngnathus acus (greater pipefish), 293 nucleotides long. RefSeq lists it as uncharacterized. The record is from RefSeq and is a predicted model, not a curated record. The transcript is spliced from 4 exons. Lineage: Eukaryota; Metazoa; Chordata; Actinopteri; Syngnathiformes; Syngnathidae.